This 292-nucleotide ribosomal RNA is filed under the name uncultured bacterium. RNAcentral describes it as "partial 16S ribosomal RNA". It matches the Rfam family "Bacterial small subunit ribosomal RNA", at positions 505 to 796 of the family's 1533-position model. The record is from RNAcentral.
GUGUCAGCAGCCGCGGUAAUACAGAGGGUGCGAGCGUUGCUCGGAAUUAUUGGGCGUAAAGAGCGCGUAGGCGGUUUGCUAAGUCUGGUGUGAAAGCCCACAGCUUAACUGUGGAAGUGCAUUGGAUACUGGCAGGCUUGAGUGUGAGAGAGGAGAGUGGAAUUCCUGGUGUAGCGGUGAAAUGCGUAGAUAUCAGGAGGAACACCGGUGGCGAAGGCGGCUCUCUGGAUCAUAACUGACGCUGAGGCGCGAAAGCGUGGGUAGCAAACAGGAUUAGAUACCCUAGUAGUCC